CCUACGGGGGGCAGCAGUGGGGAAUAUUGGACAAUGGGGGGGACCCUGAUCCAGCCAUGCCGCGUGUGUGAAGAAGGCCCUCGGGGUGUAAAGCACUUUCAGUGAGGAAGAACGCCUGGUGGUUAAUACCCAUCAGGAAAGACAUCACUCACAGAAGAAGCACCGGCUAACUCCGUGCCAGCAGCCGCGGUAAUACGGAGGGUGCGAGCGUUAAUCGGAAUUACUGGGCGUAAAGCGCGCGUAGGUGGCUUGAUAAGCCGGUUGUGAAAGCCCCGGGCUCAACCUGGGAACGGCAUCCGGAACUGUCAAGCUAGAGUGCAGGAGAGGAAGGUAGAAUUCCCGGUGUAGCGGUGAAAUGCGUAGAGAUCGGGAGGAAUACCAGUGGCGAAGGCGGCCUUCUGGACUGACACUGACACUGAGGUGCGAAAGCGUGGGUAGCAAACAGGAUUAGAUACCCUGGUAGUC
This 465-nucleotide ribosomal RNA is filed under the name Vreelandella stevensii. RNAcentral describes it as "partial 16S ribosomal RNA". It matches the Rfam family "Bacterial small subunit ribosomal RNA", at positions 338 to 795 of the family's 1533-position model. The record is from RNAcentral. Lineage: Bacteria; Pseudomonadati; Pseudomonadota; Gammaproteobacteria; Oceanospirillales; Halomonadaceae.